This 301-nucleotide ribosomal RNA is filed under the name uncultured bacterium. RNAcentral describes it as "partial 16S ribosomal RNA". It matches the Rfam family "Bacterial small subunit ribosomal RNA", at positions 509 to 807 of the family's 1533-position model. The record is from RNAcentral.
CAGUCGCCACGGUAAUACGGAGGAUCCAAGCGUUAUCCGGAUUUAUUGGGUUUAAAGGGUGCGUAGGCGGCCUAUUAAGUCAGGGGUGAAAGACGGUAGCUCAACUAUCGCAGUGCCUUUGAUACUGAUGGGCUUGAAUGUACUUGAGGUAGGCGGAAUGUGACAAGUAGCGGUGAAAUGCAUAGAUAUGUCACAGAACACCGAUCGCGAAGGCAGCUUACUAAAGUAUGAUUGACGCUGAGGCACGAAAGCGUAGGGAUCAAACAGGAUUAGAUACCCCAGUAGUCCCUGUCUCUUAUAC